RNAcentral lists this ribosomal RNA (253 nucleotides) under uncultured bacterium. RNAcentral describes it as "partial 16S ribosomal RNA". It matches the Rfam family "Bacterial small subunit ribosomal RNA", at positions 524 to 776 of the family's 1533-position model. The record is from RNAcentral.
GACAGAGGGUGCAAACGUUGUUCGGAAUUACUGGGCGUAAAGCGCGUGUAGGCGGCAAGGCAUGUCGGAUGUGAAAGCCCACGGCUCAACCGUGGAAGUGCACCCGAAACUGCCUAGCUAGAGUCUCGGAGAGGAAGGUGGAAUGCUUGGUGUAGAGGUGAAAUUCGUAGAUAUCAAGCGGAACACCGGUGGCGAAGGCGGCCUUCUGGACGAUGACUGACGCUGAGACGCGAAAGCGUGGGGAGCAAACAGG